This 60-nucleotide transfer RNA is filed under the name Karaftohelix adamsi. Its description in RNAcentral is "tRNA-Val". Lineage: Eukaryota; Metazoa; Mollusca; Gastropoda; Stylommatophora; Camaenidae. The record is from RNAcentral.
UUAGGUAUAGUAUAAGAAAUACUUUUCGCUUACAACGAAAAAAUCCAAAGGGUACUUAAU